Molecule: non-coding RNA, 72 nt
Organism: Danionella cerebrum
Lineage: Eukaryota; Metazoa; Chordata; Actinopteri; Cypriniformes; Danionidae
Source: the annotation of a GenBank genome assembly
GUCCGGUGGCUCAGUUAGUAGAGCGUUGCGCUAACAAAGUUAAGGUUAUGGGUUCAAACCCCAGGAGAAGCA